Molecule: unclassified non-coding RNA, 295 nt
Filed under: uncultured Ascomycota
Lineage: Eukaryota; Fungi; Ascomycota
Description: sequence contains ITS1
Rfam family: 5.8S ribosomal RNA (bases 1-105)
Source: RNAcentral
GAAAUGCGAUAAGUAAUGUGAAUUGCAGAAUUCAGUGAAUCAUCGAAUCUUUGAACGCACAUUGCGCCCCUUGGUACUCCGAGGGGCAUGCCUGUUCGAGCGUCAUUUAAACUCUCAAGCCCCGCUUGGUGUUGGGUGCGGCCCCCCGGGCCCUCCCGUAACUCGUUGGGCGGGACCGUCUGGCUCUAAGCGUAGCAAGAAUCUUCCCUCGCUUCGGAGCUCCGGCGGCCCUCGCCCGGGAACCAACCCCCCAAAGUUUGACCUCGGAUCAGGUAGGGAUACCCGCUGAACUUAA